Molecule: long non-coding RNA, 734 nt
Filed under: Solanum tuberosum (potato)
Lineage: Eukaryota; Viridiplantae; Streptophyta; Magnoliopsida; Solanales; Solanaceae
Description: long non-coding RNA (STUB_LNC002030)
Source: RNAcentral
CCUCCAAAUACUCUCCAUUAACACCAUUUUCUUAGAAAAUUUGACGAUAGCUUCCAAGCUUUAUUUCUUCCAACCAUAAACCUACAUCCUGACAAAACAAGAGGAGUAACAAAAUGUCAGUCAUUGUUGCAUUCCCUCGUGGACGUAUUUUAUUCCUCAACCUCGUGUUUUUUCGUCUCCCUGUUAGAGAUUUGAGUAAAUGUCCAUUUAGAAGCUCUAAUUAACAAGGAAAGAAACAAAAAUAGAUAUACCAUCUAAUGCAUCUAAUAUCAGAUGCUGCUUACUUUUAGAGGCAAUGCACUAAGCCCAAAGUCAGAAACUUGUAAAAUGAUCCAAAUACAUACAAAGCACAAAUAUGAAAACCACCGACUUGUAGUGCUUGGUUUAGUCAGGCUCAACGCGAGGGACUGCACCUUGUGGCGCGAGGUUGGGGUUUGGCAUUGGGAUUUGUCCAGCAAGCUCCUGUCCCCCGAGCUACAUGUUUUGUCCUCCUCUUUCCAACUUGGCGCAUAAGCCUAAAAUUCUAGAUAUUUCCUUGAUAUAUAAUGUAAAAUGGAUGAAACAACUCAUGAGUCUUGUAUUACUAAGCUAGUUACUUUGUAUGUAUGAGGUGUUACAAAAUGAUCUUGUAGAUAUUGUGGACCAAAACUUGACUCUAGAAGGUAAUAAUAAAAUUGACAGACUUUGGUGAAUGGUUGAGACAUAAAGAAUUUACUGUUAAAUCAACAUGGAAC